Molecule: long non-coding RNA, 1106 nt
Organism: Salmo salar (Atlantic salmon)
Lineage: Eukaryota; Metazoa; Chordata; Actinopteri; Salmoniformes; Salmonidae
Source: RefSeq, a predicted model, not a curated record
CUGGUUGUGUUCAUGGCACACUAAAAGGUAACACAUUUUUACAGUUAAAUUACAUGUUUUCAGUAUAAAUCCCAUAAAAUAAUUUUAGGAGGGGUGCGGGGCCUCAGACUGGGGCCUCCAAAUCACAAAGUCCACCUCUGCCUGUGUUCAGGGACACAGUGGUAAGGCUGCAUUCAAACAUUACGUGUUCCUCCUGCAUUGAUGAUUGUCAACCACAACACUUUUCCAUUCAUCAGAAGAGUUCUAAACUGUGAUUGUGUGUCUCUUUCUGCAGGGUUAGUGUUUAAGGUGCUGGCCCUUUGCUUCUCCUCCUGUACACACUCAGACAUGGUGUGGCAGAGGGUGUGCUGAAAGCUGCUGGAGACUGUCCGGAGUGCUGGCUGGAGAGUGUGCUCACUGGGCUGGUGCAGGCUGUAAACAUGUAAGGGAAAGGGAGAGAACUAGAGGCCUGACAGGGGUCCAGGAUCAUGGGGAACCUGGUGUUGAAGAACAAAGAAGCCUAGUUUGUCAUCACUGAUAAAAUGCUCCUGGUCCAAUACAAGUAUGAGACUCACGUUUUGAGGGUUCUUCUGGGCUAUCUGGCACAGCACAGGGAGAGGCCACUACUUAUACAGGGGCUGCAGUCGCUGUGCCAGAGCUGGAUAGGUAAAAGAUAGCAAUAUUAUAAUAAAAACCCAAAACCCUGUAAUACCUUGCUAUACACUACAUUUAUGAAUAAAAUGUUGUCUGUGAGACUGAAGUUUUAUAUUUAAUUCAAAUCAUUACAACUUAAUUAAUCUUCCCACGGGCAGUUAAGAAGGCAUGGUAUAGUAGUGUUGUAUUAACAAGGCUCUAUGUUCCUGUCCUGUGUGUGUAUGAACCAGUGAUGAUUCGCUCACCCCUUACAGAUAUAUCAGCUGACCAGGAGACGAGCCAUGCUGUUUGGAGGGUAAUAUACAGUAUAAACUGUAGGACUCUCCAUGGGUGGGAGAUGGACAUUUGAGCUUAUCAACGCAAUCUUUAUUUUGCUGACUUGUUGAACGAUUGAGCCAUUCAUCCUUCCAUCCCUCCAUCUCUCCCCAGCCUUCCUCUCCUCUGAGGGUGGAGCUCAGUCUGAGAGCUGUUGA